This 1858-nucleotide ribosomal RNA is filed under the name Tetranychus huhhotensis. RNAcentral's name for it is "SSU rRNA". It matches the Rfam family "Eukaryotic small subunit ribosomal RNA", at positions 121 to 1649 of the family's 1831-position model. Lineage: Eukaryota; Metazoa; Arthropoda; Arachnida; Trombidiformes; Tetranychidae. RNAcentral also lists the same sequence under 1 other name. The record is from RNAcentral.
CGGAUAUUCUUUUUUACAUGGAUAACUGUGGUAAUUCUAGAGCUAAUACAUGAACAAGUGUUCCAACCUCAGCUUGCUGACGGAAGGAUCGCAUUUAUUAGUACAAGACCAAUGAUUCUUAUUCACCUAGAACCCUGUUCAGUGAUUUCGGUCGCUGUCUAAGGACUAGCAGUGGGGAUCUUAGCAAUUUCGAUUGCAUUUCUUGUGAUGACUCUGAAUAACUGAGCAAAUCGUAUGGCCUCUGAGCCGACGAUGUAUCCCUCAAGCAACUGCCUUAUCAACUGUCGAUGGUAGGUUAUGCGCCUACCAUGGUUGUAACGGGUAACGGGGAAUUAGGGUUCGAUUCCGGAGAGGGAGCCUGAGAAACGGCUACCACAUCUAAGGAAGGCAGCAGGCGCGCAAAUUACACAAUCCCAGUACGGGGAUGUAGUGACGAAAAAUAACAAUACGGGACUCUAUUGAGGCCCCGUAAUUGGAAUGAGUACAAUUUAAAUCCUUUAACGAGGAUCUAUUGGAGGGCAAGUCUGGUGCCAGCAGCCGCGGUAAUUCCAGCUCCAAUAGCGUAUAUUAAAGUUGCUGCGGUUAAAAAGCUCGUAGUUGGAUUUCAGUCGAACCUAUGGGGUCCACUGAUUAAAGGGUUAGAUGGUGAUGUUAGGUUUCUUGCUUGUGUCUACGGAUGCUAGCUUGAACCUUCAUUCCUCUUUCCUGGUGGUUACAUUCAUAGUGUUUAGACAGAAAAUUGCUCGAUAUUUGCUAUCAAUGCUCUUUACCGAGUGUUGAUUCAAGCGAUCGAGACUUUUACCUUGAAAAAAUCAGAGUGCUCAAAGCAGGCGUCCAAAACCUCGAAAGAGGUGCCUAAAAACGGUAUGGUCAACCAUCUAUAUGAUGCGUACCACUACCUUAACUUGAAUGAUCUUGCAUGGAAUAAUGGAAUAGGACCUUGGUUCUAUUUUGUUGGUCUUAAGAAUCCAAGGUAAUGAUUAAGAGGGACAGACGGGGGCAUUUGUAUUGCGGCGCUAGAGGUGAAAUUCUUGGACCGUCGCAAGACAAACUACAGCGAAAGCAUUUGCCAAGAAUGUUUUCAUUAAUCAAGAACGAAAGUUAGAGGUUCGAAGGCGAUCAGAUACCGCCCUAGUUCUAACCAUAAACGAUGCCAACCAGCGAUCAUUCUGAGUAACUAAUUUCAUGACUCGAAUGGAAGCUUCCGGGAAACCAAAGUUUUUGGGUUCCGGGGGAAGUAUGGUUGCAAAGCUGAAACUUAAAGGAAUUGACGGAAGGGCACCACCAGGAGUGGAGCUUGCGGCUUAAUUUGACUCAACACGGGAAAACUCACCCGGCCCGGACACUGAGAGGAUUGACAGAUUGAGAGCUCUUUCUUGAUUCAGUGGGUGGUGGUGCAUGGCCGUUCUUAGUUGGUGGAGUGAUUUGUCUGGUUAAUUCCGAUAACGAACGAGACUCUAGCCUACUAAAUAGACUUGCAGUUUACACUGCAGUACUCCCCCUUAGUCAACCUGUGGGUGGUAGUAUCUCUUGAUGGUUUCGGCUGUUGAGGGCUCUGCUGCUAUUAGCCUGCAGAAUUGGCUAGGGUAAGGAUGCUGUAGCACUGUAAGGACUUCUUAGAGGGACAAGCGGCGCUCGCAGCCGCACGAAACAGAGCAAUAACAGGUCUGUGAUGCCCUUAGAUGUCCGGGGCCGCACGCGUGCUACACUGAAGUGGUCAUCGUGCAUACUGUUUCCUGCUCCGAAAGGAGUGGGUAACCGCUUGAACCCAUUUCGUGAUGGGGAUUGGGCAUUGUAAUUAUUGCCCAUGAACGAGGAAUUCCCAGUAAGCGUGAGUCAUUAGCUUGCGUUGAUUACG